Molecule: long non-coding RNA, 627 nt
Filed under: Rhinopithecus roxellana (golden snub-nosed monkey)
Lineage: Eukaryota; Metazoa; Chordata; Mammalia; Primates; Cercopithecidae
Description: lncRNA (ENSRROG00000046044.1)
Source: RNAcentral
CACACUCAUGCAGCCAAAGACUUCUGGAAGCUUCUGGGUGGCCAAACCAGUUACCAGUGUAAGACUUUAUUGCACUUCAGAGAUUGACAAGACUUGAAUCUGCUUUCUUCUCCCUUAGCUCAUUCUUCUAAACCAGCUAUUUUGAAAUGUAAAAUGUGGUGCCCUCCUGUUGUUCUUAUCCCCAAGCUGCUGGAGACCCAAAAGAAGAUGAACUCUAUGAAGCAGCCAUAAUAGAAACUAACUGCAUUUACCGUCUCAUGGAUGACAAAUUUGUUCCUGAUGACAACUACUGGGGGGAAAUUCCAAAAUGCUCCCUUCUGCAACCCAAAGAGGUACUGGUGUUUGAUUUUGGUAGUGAGGUUUACGUAUGGCAUGGGAAAGAAGUCACAUUAGCACAACGAAAAGUAGCAUUUCAGCUGGCAAAGCACUUAUGGAACGGAACCUUUGACUAUGAGAACUGUGACAUCAAUCCCCUGGAUCCUGGAGAAUGCAAUCCGCUUAUCCCCAGAAAAGGACAGGGGCGGCCCGACUGGGCGCUAUUUGGGAGACUUACUGAACACAAUGAAACAAUUUUGUUCAAAGAGAAGUUUCUGGAUUGGACAGAACUGAAGAGAGAGAAUGAGAAGA